This 897-nucleotide ribosomal RNA is filed under the name Triticum aestivum (bread wheat). RNAcentral's name for it is "partial small subunit ribosomal RNA". The record is from RNAcentral. Lineage: Eukaryota; Viridiplantae; Streptophyta; Magnoliopsida; Poales; Poaceae.
AUGACCAUGAGCAUGGCAACCGGCGCUAUGGGCUCCUUGCUGCCCAAGCUGGUCGAGCUCCUCAAGGAAGAGUACAAGCUGAAGGAGAGCGUCAAGGAAGGCGUCAGAUCUCUUGAGAAAGAGAUGAAGAGCAUGCAAGCUGCGCUCAACAAGGUGGGCGAGGUGCCGCGGGACCAGCUCGACGAGCAGGUCAAGAUCUGGGCAGGGGAGGUGAGGGAGCUCUCCUUCAACAUGGAGGACGUCGUCGACAAGUUUUUGGUGCGUGUCGAUGAUGGCUCCAAGCCUGCCGCCAACCCGAAGAAACUCAAACGGUUCGCCAAGAAGAUGGUAGGCUUGUUCACCAAGGGGAAGACUUGCCAUGAUAUUGCCAAAGCAAUCAAGGCCAUCAAUAAGCAAGUAGAAGAGGUUGCCAACAGGCGUCAAAGGUACAAUAUUGACAAUAUUGUCGCUAGGCCUGCUGCCGUGACUCCCAUCGAUCCUCGCCUUGGGGCUCUGUACAAGGAAGUGACAGAUCUUGUUGGCAUUACCGGAACAAGGGAUCAAGAGAUAAUGAAGUUGCUCUCGGAGGGGGAUGACAUGUCCAAGAAAAAGUUGAAGAUCGUCUCUGUUGUUGGAUUUGGAGGAUUGGGCAAGACAACUCUUGUCAAAGCAGUUUAUGACAAGAUCAAGGGAGAUUUCGACUGCAGGGCUUUUGUUCCCGUCAGUCGAAAUGCUAAUGCGAAGGAGGUUUUCAUGGACAUCCUGCACGAGCUUGAUCCUGAAAAGGACAAAGGUCAGCUCACCAUGUUGAAUGAAAGACAACUCAUUGACAAAAUCCAACUACGCCUCGAGAACAAGAGGUACGUACAUAUCACACAUGCCACUCACUUAAUGAUGGUAACUAGCCAAUUCCAUUGA